UAAAUGCAUUUUAUUGCCGAAAUCAAAUCAAAAUAGCCUUUCUCGAAGUGAUAAUUUUAAAUUGAGAGACUAAAAAAAAUCACUCGGAGUCGUGUCAGAUGAGUACGAUGCUUGGUCGUGGAAGAUGACGCAAUAUCAUGAUGCGAAUUCAAUGAAUUGGCCUUCCAUAAUUCUGUCUGUUUUGGUGGAAAUUGUUGAUGUAAAAGCCAUAUGAACUAUUAUUCACCGUUUGUCCCUCUGGAAGAAAUUAAGAAUAAACCAUACCGCUAUUAUUGAAAAGAUUUGUCAGUCCUACUCUCAUUUUCUAACGAAUUUGAUAUAGAUAGAUUUUGUGACUAUUUAAUUAGUAAAUGUAAAAUCUCAGGACAUUAUGUGUCCAGUGAUCUGGUUUGAAUGUUAUUUUUCAACAGCAUAGGGCUAAUUUGACACCACUAGUGCGGCAGCAAAUUUUAUGCCCAAAAUAAAGCCAAGAUAAUUUUCAACGACUCAUAUACUGUUUUCAGCGGACUAGACGAAGCGAUUGCACUACCAUAUCUCCGUCUUCUUUAAAUACUUUAUAACAUUCAUAUGUCUAUGUUUGUAGCAUGAACAAUUCACGGAAUCGCACAAGACACUCCAACAAUUCCAUCACCUGCACAAUGCGGGAUGCAUCCAAUAUUCUGCGACAAUUUCGUAAGCAUCGUGCUUUCGAAUAUUAUCUAAAAAAUCUGGAACCUCUAAAGAGAAUAUUAAUUUAUAAUAAUAAUUUUAAAAUUAUUAUUAUUUAUUAGUUUUUUAAAAUAAACUUCUAUAUUUUUUUUCUAAAUACAAAUUUUCUUAAAAUAUUGCUGAACGCAAUAUAAACACAACUACUUCUGGGUGAGGUUAUAACUAAUUAUAUUUAGUACUUGGAGAACAUUAAAUCUUCGGUAUUUUUCAAUACCAACAAGAACCUCAUCCACCCCAAAUAUUUAAAUACAGAGAUAUGACAUCUAAAUACAGCUAAUGAUCAUUAACGUAGUCAUUAGGAAAUGAUAGAUAUGUUCUUGGGUAGUAAAUUUUACAGACUGCGGUAGGUAAUGGAAGUAAAAUAAAUAUUUAUUUAAUAAUAAUAAUUUUAAAAAAAAUUCUAUAUUUUUUUUUCUUAAUACAAAUUUGUUUAAAAUCUUGCUGAACGCAAUAAAAACACAACUUCUUCUGGGUGAGGUUAUAACUAAUUAUAUUUAGUAAUUGGAGAACAUUACAUUCUCGGUAUUUUUCAAUACCAACAAGAACCUCACCCACCCCAAAUAUUUAAAUAAAGAGAUAUGACAUCCGAAUUAUUAAAUGCAGCCAACGAUUAUAAUGGUCUUCACGAGGAAACGAUAGACAUGUUAUUGGGAAGUAAGCUUACGGAAUGUGACAGGUAAAGGAAAUAAAUGCUUUCAUCUAUUAGAAUCGUUCAAGUUAAAGUCUGCUUUAUACGCAAAUUAAAACGAGUAUAAUUAAAAUGAGGACUUCCUAAGAUUUUUUAUCAGCCCACUAAUAUUUAUCGUAAUUUCGUUUUUGAAUUAUGUAUAUGACAAACUUAAAAUAACAACAUAAGAAUCGUUUCUAACAAUUAUAAAAUGCAUUAUUUUAUACAUAAAUAGUGAGUAGUAUAUCCACGCAUGACAAAAUAAAAAAAUUUGUAAACGUUAAGUUUACGGUAUUUUUCAAUACCCAUAUAAAGAGAUAAUAUUUUCAACUUUUAAAUAAAAAGAAUUUGGACACCAUCCUUAUGGAUUUAUAACAGUAAAACAAUUUUGGGUCUACUAUGUGGAAGUGCACUUCAUAGAGAUGACUGCAGAAGAUACAACAGAAAUAAUUAAUGAAAAAAAUUGUGUUCCAGAUUUAAUAAUAUCAAAACCUUAAACCGAACAACAGCGUGUUUAUCUAAUAAAUAAUUCAAAGCACUAUAAUGGAUAUCCAAUCUUAGUCCACUAUGAUAAAUUUUUUUAUCGAAGCCAAUACCGUGGUGCCUUGCAAACGCCAUUCUUCUAGCGCAGGUCAAAUUAGCUUUUCGUUCGUCUAUUACAAAAUCAGCCAAGCUAUACUUUUCAAACAGGAUCCACACUCAUCAAAACUGAUUGCUAUCGAGUCUAUCGAGACGUGUUAUUUUGCUGUAGCUAUAGUUUCUUCAGAAUCAUCCUUUCUCACAUAUGGAGCCAAAAAUUCGCCAUACAAUUUUUGU
Molecule: long non-coding RNA, 2191 nt
Organism: Teleopsis dalmanni
Lineage: Eukaryota; Metazoa; Arthropoda; Insecta; Diptera; Diopsidae
Exons: 3
Source: RefSeq, a predicted model, not a curated record